This 465-nucleotide ribosomal RNA is filed under the name uncultured bacterium. RNAcentral's name for it is "partial 16S ribosomal RNA". It matches the Rfam family "Bacterial small subunit ribosomal RNA", at positions 28 to 507 of the family's 1533-position model. The record is from RNAcentral.
GACGAACGCUGGCGGCGUGCUUAACACAUGCAAGUCGAACGGAAAGGCCCCGCUGGGGGUACGCGAGUGGGGAACGGGCGAGUGACACGCGAGUGACUUGCCCUCGACUUCGGGAGAACUUCAUGCAACAGGGGCGAAUAACUGCUAGGAAUCCGUGCCGGAUGGUGGGGGGUGGUAAGCUUGGGCGGUUUUGGAUGGACUGACGGCUGUAUAGCUUGUUGGUGGGGUAGUGGCUUACCAAGGCGUUGAUGGGUAGCCGGCCCGAGGGGGCGACCGGCCACCUUGGGGCUGGGCUUCGGGCCAGACUCCUACGGGUUGCAGCAGUUGGGAAAUUUUGACCAUGGGCGGGAGCCUGAUUCAACAACGCCGGCUGCCGGAUGACCGCCUUCCGGUUGUAAACCGGUUUCAGCAUGGGCGCAGCUUUGGGUGACGGUAACUGCAAAAGAAGCACCGGCUAACUACGUG